Molecule: non-coding RNA, 1008 nt
Organism: Nicotiana tabacum (common tobacco)
Lineage: Eukaryota; Viridiplantae; Streptophyta; Magnoliopsida; Solanales; Solanaceae
Source: RefSeq, a predicted model, not a curated record
UGAAAGCUGAUGUGAAACAUGAUCUAAUCGUAAAAACAGAAAGAAAAAUAGACAUUAUGGUCCUUUGUUUAACUUUGUCACAUUAAUAUUUUUAAUAAUUGAAACAAUAAUGUUAUUAAGCUAGAUAAUCAUAUACUUUUUCUACAACAUCUUUAUUGAUCAGGUUUGUCAAAUUGCUCCUACUCAGUCUGCUGACUCACACUCCCUAUAAAGGCCAUCUGGUAUUUUCACUUUUGGGUAAAUGGUGGGCAAUAUCCGAUUUCACUUUUCUUUCCCGUACGAUUAUUCAGGGACUGUGUAAACACCGUGCUCUUCAACUGAAGUUUCUGUGUGGAAUUGGCUGCUGUCCUGUUGGUGCCCUCUCAUUGGUGAUAAACAACUUCAGUAAACUGUGUCCUAUUACUCAUUUCAAGACUUCUCAAAAUCUCUUCGGAAACAGAACAACACAGCCUUAUCUUAUUCAGACCAUUGUGUAUAAUAAUGGCAGUGAUGAAUAUUUUUUGUAAAUAAGGUUCCGAGGGGUAUACAAGAACGCGAAUCAGACGAACAAUUUCUUUUCCAAUUGAGAGGCCAAUGUAAGUACUUUCUAGCACAUGGAAUACAGAUAACUGGGCUACUAUAGGAGGCUUGAACAAGAUAAACUGCACAAGUGCACCAUUUUGUAGCAUGUUAUACGUAUUUUAGUUUAGAUGCUUGUCAAUGGAAACCUCUUUUCUCUGCUCGUAUUUCCACCACUAUCCACUUUUGGGAUCAGUAUAAUGUUUGUUGCUUUCUGUCAUAAUCAAGGGUCAAACCAGUUUUGAACUUACAGUUAUACUUUUGCAACAAAUAAAGUAGCAAACAUAAUUGCUCAGAAAAUUGAUACUUUAGCUAUAAACUGCUCCAUGCAACUUCUUGAAUCAACUGCUUCAAAUAAUCAUAAAGGAGAUGCGAAAACUUUACAGAGGUUCUUAUCAUGUACAAGGUAGAAAACUCUCGAAUUUCAAGUGUUUGAUAGAUGUUUCGAAA